This 247-nucleotide long non-coding RNA is filed under the name Ricinus communis (castor bean). RNAcentral's name for it is "long non-coding RNA (RCOM_LNC000945)". Lineage: Eukaryota; Viridiplantae; Streptophyta; Magnoliopsida; Malpighiales; Euphorbiaceae. The record is from RNAcentral.
CCGUGGUGGCCUCAGAAACCGUGCCCAAAUCAUUAUUUUGAAGACCAAGUUUCAAUGGUUGGUCACGGCCAUAGUCCAGGCCGUGAUGGUCAGCACUACCUUGACUCAGGCCGUGCUCAAUGUGUGCAACGCGAGCUCUUGUCCGAUCUUGAUGAAUUCUCUUCCAUUUCCACACGUAUUGAUCUAUAAUUGCUUAAACACUGAUGACGGUCCUAUAAAUGCUCCCGAAAAAUCAGCCUCUUCUCCC